This 157-nucleotide ribosomal RNA is filed under the name uncultured Agaricomycetes. RNAcentral's name for it is "5.8S ribosomal RNA". It matches the Rfam family "5.8S ribosomal RNA". From Rfam's summary of the family: 5.8S ribosomal RNA (5.8S rRNA) is a component of the large subunit of the eukaryotic ribosome. The record is from RNAcentral. Lineage: Eukaryota; Fungi; Basidiomycota; Agaricomycetes.
UAACUUUUAACAAUGGAUCUCUUGGCUCUUGCAACGAUGAAGAACGCAGCAAUAUGCGAUAACUAAUGUGACUCGCACAAGCUCGUGAAUCAUCAAGUUUUUGAACGCACAUUGCACUUCCUGGUAUUCCGGGAAGUACACCUGUUUGAGUAUCAUU